Molecule: ribosomal RNA, 253 nt
Filed under: uncultured bacterium
Lineage: Bacteria
Description: partial 16S ribosomal RNA
Rfam family: Bacterial small subunit ribosomal RNA
Source: RNAcentral
UACGGGGGGAGCAAGCGUGGUUCGGAAUCACGGGGCGUAAAGGGAGUCUAGGCGGUUUGGUAAGUGGGAUGUGAAAUCCCCGGGCUCACCCCGGGACCUGCAUCCCAAACUGCUGAGCUUGAGUACAGGAGAGGGUGGGGGAAUUCCAGGUGUAGCGGUGAAAUGCGUAGAUAUCUGGAGGAACACCGGUGGCGAAGGCGCCCACCUGGCCUGCUACUGACGCUGAAGCUCGAAAGCUAGGGGAGCAAACGGG